GAUGGUGACACAGUUUUGAUUAAGUCUUUUUUUUAUUUUUAACUCUUAGAAAAUGUCAGUGCCUUCAAUGCCUGCAGGAGGGUCCCGAUCACAACACAGCACCGAGCCCCUCACUCGAAAUGAAUGAGUGACGCUGAUUAGGCCAUUUUGGAAAGCAAGAGGUUUGCUGCAUUUUCAGAGCCAUUUUUGGCCUUUCAUCCCACGAGAAGUCAGAUGGUCCCAGAGGCAGAAGCGAUCCCAGUGACAGCCCUCCUGCCUUCCAAAGGAAACCCCCCAAGGUUACUUUCCUCCUCGAGCUUCAGCAACUGGUAGAAAGUGUUGGCUCUUCAUCUCCAGUGGAGUCCAGAAACAAUGAGAGAUGCUCCUUUUCCUUUCCAUGCAGAGGGUUCGGACCGGGUUGAAGCUGGUGUCUGGGCAAGGAUGAUGCCCCAAAUGGCUAAAGAGUGGGGAUAAACCAGAAAGAGUUGCAAGCUGAGUCCUUCAAGAGGUGCAUAAUCAGCGAUGGUGAAUUUGUGGUGAGUCCAUGGAGGUGUGAGUGGCAUAUGAACAGGAGUCCAAGCUGAAAGGUUGGAAGCAGGGACAGUGGGAACAGAGUGAAGACAAAGA
Molecule: long non-coding RNA, 606 nt
Filed under: Vulpes vulpes (red fox)
Lineage: Eukaryota; Metazoa; Chordata; Mammalia; Carnivora; Canidae
Description: lncRNA (ENSVVUG00000012883.1)
Source: RNAcentral